UCAGUCACUUGGGGAAGUUCAGGAGGCUG
RNAcentral lists this non-coding RNA (29 nucleotides) under Homo sapiens (human). The record is from RNAcentral. Lineage: Eukaryota; Metazoa; Chordata; Mammalia; Primates; Hominidae.